This 65-nucleotide transfer RNA is filed under the name Archichauliodes diversus. RNAcentral describes it as "tRNA-Thr". It matches the Rfam family "tRNA". From Rfam's summary of the family: Transfer RNA (tRNA) molecules are approximately 80 nucleotides in length. Their secondary structure includes four short double-helical elements and three loops (D, anti-codon, and T loops). Further hydrogen bonds mediate the characteristic L-shaped molecular structure. tRNAs have two regions of fundamental functional importance: the anti-codon, which is responsible for specific mRNA codon recognition, and the 3' end, to which the tRNAs corresponding amino acid is attached (by aminoacyl-tRNA synthetases). tRNAs cope with the degeneracy of the genetic code in two manners: having more than one tRNA (with a specific anti-codon) for a particular amino acid; and 'wobble' base-pairing, i.e. permitting non-standard base-pairing at the 3rd anti-codon position. The record is from RNAcentral. Lineage: Eukaryota; Metazoa; Arthropoda; Insecta; Megaloptera; Corydalidae.
AGUUUUAAUAGUUUAAUGAAAACAUUGGUCUUGUAAAUCAAAAAUAAGUCUAUUCUUUUAAAACU